UGCUUUUCGCAACGAGAUUGCUGCAAGGGGAAAACCAAUGAUACGAGAGCUGUUAAAAGUGUGCAUAAAGUGUGGCAAUUAAAUUUUUAGUCGAAGAGGCACUGGAAAAGCGAACUGCACGCGACGAGCGAACAAAGACGAAUGAGCAGGCAGGCUAGACUGAGUCUCAAAAGAUACAUUUCUACCUAUGUGUAUACCCAUCUGAAUCUCAAUCCCGGUGAAGCUCGACCAGCACCUGCCCACCUUCGAAGGCAGACCCGCGCGCGACAGGCAAAAUUGUUGACCAGGUGAUGGGUUUUCGGACCUGGUCUACCUAAGACAUCGCUCACUUUGUCAAAUCAGUGCUGAUCGCGUUUAAAUCUGUUCAAGAAUGGCAUGACAACUAUAUAAACGGAGUGUUAACACCCUAAGUAUAAG
Drosophila gunungcola (fruit fly) is the source of this 417-nucleotide long non-coding RNA. RefSeq lists it as uncharacterized. The record is from RefSeq and is a predicted model, not a curated record. The transcript has 3 exons. Lineage: Eukaryota; Metazoa; Arthropoda; Insecta; Diptera; Drosophilidae.